CAGUCGCCACGGGAAUACGAAGGGGGCUAGCGUUGCUCGGAAUUACUGGGCGUAAAGGGCGCGUAGGCGGCGCUCCAAGUUAGGCGUGAAAUUCCCGGGCUCAACCUGGGGACUGCGCUUAAGACUGGAGUGCUUGAGGAUGGAAGAGGGUUGUGGAAUUCCCAGUGUAGAGGUGAAAUUCGUAGAUAUUGGGAAGAACACCGGUGGCGAAGGCGGCAACCUGGUCCAUUACUGACGCUGAGGCGCGAUAGCGUGGGGAGCAAACAGGAUUAGAUACCCCCGUAGUCCCUGUCUCUUAUAC
This 301-nucleotide ribosomal RNA is filed under the name uncultured bacterium. RNAcentral describes it as "partial 16S ribosomal RNA". It matches the Rfam family "Bacterial small subunit ribosomal RNA", at positions 509 to 807 of the family's 1533-position model. The record is from RNAcentral.